This 357-nucleotide long non-coding RNA is filed under the name Fukomys damarensis (Damara mole-rat). RNAcentral describes it as "lncRNA (ENSFDAG00000024139.1)". Lineage: Eukaryota; Metazoa; Chordata; Mammalia; Rodentia; Bathyergidae. The record is from RNAcentral.
GUGGGGAAAAUGCCCUCACCUAGAACUGGAAAGGAUGACAGUGCUGCCCUUGCAGGUGGCUGUGAGGAGCAGACCAGACAGUGCAAGCAGAGGACAGGGCCUCGUGAGCCCAGCCCAAGGCUCCUGCUGCCUUCCCAGAAGAGCGAGUCCCUCACACCAUGGGAACAAGGUCUCCAGGGACAGGUGACCUCUGUCUGGCCCUGCAGAGGAAGCACAGCCACUAGAUCUUUCACCAUCACAAAUGUCAUAGAUGCUCAGGCUGCCAUAAUAAAAUACCAUCGGCUGGGUGGUUUAAACAACACAAAGUCAUUCUCUCAGCGCGGAGGCUGAAGGUCGGAGAUCUGAGUGCCAGCCACG